UUGUCCGGAAUUACUGGGUGUAAAGGGAGCGUAGGCGGGACGGUAAGUCAGGUGUGAAAUAUACGUGCUCAACAUGUAGACUGCACUUGAAACUGCUGUUCUUGAGUGAAGUAGAGGUAAGCGGAAUUCCUAGUGUAGCGGUGAAAUGCGUAGAUAUUAGGAGGAACAUCGGUGGCGAAGGCGGCUUACUGGGCUUUUACUGACGCUGAGGCUCGAAAGCGUGGGGAGCAAACAGGAUUAGAUACCCUGGUAGUCCACGCUGUAAACGAUGAUUACUAGGUGUGGGGGGACUGACCCCUUCCGCGCCGCAGUUAACACAAUAAGUAAUCCACCUGGGGAGUACGACCGCAAGGUUGAAACUCAA
Molecule: ribosomal RNA, 364 nt
Filed under: uncultured bacterium
Lineage: Bacteria
Description: bacterial SSU rRNA
Rfam family: Bacterial small subunit ribosomal RNA
Source: RNAcentral